UGAAAUUCCAUGUUUUGGUCUGAACAACAUACCCAAAUAAAAAGUGGUACAGCUCCCAUAUACUUUGACACUCUGGGGUAUGCUUGAUAUCAUUGGAAAGGUGAUUGAUGUUGGGUUUGAUUGUG
Etheostoma cragini (Arkansas darter) is the source of this 125-nucleotide long non-coding RNA. RefSeq lists it as uncharacterized. The transcript is spliced from 4 exons. The record is from RefSeq and is a predicted model, not a curated record. NCBI's taxonomy places the organism in Eukaryota, Metazoa, Chordata, Actinopteri, Perciformes, Percidae.